GUUUAAAAAGAAAUCUGGUGUAAAGCCACAGUAAAGUUAGCGCCUCGGAAAUGAAUCCGUAAUCAUAAGAACCGUACCAUAUUCUUCUGUUUCUAAGGUGCACUGGAUUCAUACAUAAUGACGUCAGACGCAGCAUAAAGAGAUGCGCAUGCUGACCCCAUCAUGUGGGAGACCAGACGAAGCGCAGAUAGCGCGAAACGGCCGUCGCCUGUAGCUGAGUGAGCGCCCGCACCAGCGACCAUGUUUUAAACUUGAAUAAACAAGCUGCAAAGAAAUCUGGGGAAUAUCGCAAGUUUAUUUCUUCUAUACAUCACAUAAGAAGCAAGUUAUACAUCAUUGAAUGGAAUGAAGAGUAAAUGCAAUGGUCAAGGUUUUUAACAGAUCAGAAGUGGGGGGGAUAUAUAUUGCAAUAUAUAAAUAUUAAGUCAAGAUCAACUGGAAUCCCCUUAAGCAGCAACUUUCGACACUCCAACUGCUGUGAAACUGCAACUCCCAGCAUGCACUCUUGUAACUCCCAUAGAAGUGAAUGGAGGAUUCUGGGAGUUGUAGUUUCAGAACAGCUGGAGUGCUAGAGGAUGCUGAUCCCUGCCCUACAGCAUCAUUUGUAUAGAAGAGCAUGACAUCCACAUUAAUGGAGAAGACAUGGA
This is a long non-coding RNA of Bufo gargarizans (Asiatic toad), 647 nucleotides long. RefSeq lists it as uncharacterized. The record is from RefSeq and is a predicted model, not a curated record. The transcript has 3 exons. Lineage: Eukaryota; Metazoa; Chordata; Amphibia; Anura; Bufonidae.